RNAcentral lists this ribosomal RNA (351 nucleotides) under uncultured bacterium. RNAcentral describes it as "bacterial SSU rRNA". It matches the Rfam family "Bacterial small subunit ribosomal RNA", at positions 958 to 1307 of the family's 1533-position model. The record is from RNAcentral.
AACGCGAAGAACCUUACCAAGCCUUGACAUCCCCCUGACAGGACAGUAACGCGUCCCUUCCUUCGGAACAGGGGAGACAGGUGGUGCAUGGUUGUUGUCAGCUCGUGUCGUGAGAUGUUGGGUUAAGUCCCGCAACGAGCGCAACCCUUACCUUCAGUAGCCAGCAAGUAAAGGUGGGCACUCUGGAGGGACUGCCAGGGACAACCUGGAGGAAGGUGGGGAUGACGUCAAAUCAUCAUGCCCCUUAUGGCUUGGGCUACACACGUGCUACAAUGGCGUAAACAAAGGGAAGCAACCCUGUGAAGGUGAGCAAAUCCCAAAAAUAACGUCCCAGUUCGGAUUGUAGUUGUG